This 72-nucleotide transfer RNA is filed under the name Ovis aries (sheep). It matches the Rfam family "tRNA". Rfam says of the family: Transfer RNA (tRNA) molecules are approximately 80 nucleotides in length. Lineage: Eukaryota; Metazoa; Chordata; Mammalia; Artiodactyla; Bovidae. The record is from Rfam by way of RNAcentral.
UCCCAGGUGGCUCAGACAGUAAAGAAUCUGCCUGCAAUGCAGGAGACCCAGGUUCGAUCCCUGGGUUGGGGA